This 94-nucleotide transfer RNA is filed under the name Spirochaetota bacterium. RNAcentral describes it as "Spirochaetes bacterium tRNA-Gly". It matches the Rfam family "tRNA". From Rfam's summary of the family: Transfer RNA (tRNA) molecules are approximately 80 nucleotides in length. Their secondary structure includes four short double-helical elements and three loops (D, anti-codon, and T loops). Further hydrogen bonds mediate the characteristic L-shaped molecular structure. tRNAs have two regions of fundamental functional importance: the anti-codon, which is responsible for specific mRNA codon recognition, and the 3' end, to which the tRNAs corresponding amino acid is attached (by aminoacyl-tRNA synthetases). tRNAs cope with the degeneracy of the genetic code in two manners: having more than one tRNA (with a specific anti-codon) for a particular amino acid; and 'wobble' base-pairing, i.e. permitting non-standard base-pairing at the 3rd anti-codon position. The record is from RNAcentral. Lineage: Bacteria; Pseudomonadati; Spirochaetota.
GCGUGGGUAGUUCAGUGGUUAGAAUCUCUGGCUUCCAAGAAAAACAUUUUUACGAAGAAACCAGAUGACCCGGGUUCGAACCCCGGCCCGCGCA